This 119-nucleotide ribosomal RNA is filed under the name Gossypium raimondii (Peruvian cotton). Lineage: Eukaryota; Viridiplantae; Streptophyta; Magnoliopsida; Malvales; Malvaceae. The record is from RNAcentral.
GGGUGCGAUCAUACCAGCACUAAUGCACCAGAUCCCAUCAGAACUCCGAAGUUAAGCGUGCUUGGGCGAGAGUAGUACUAGGAUGGGUGACCUCCUGGGAAGUCAUCGUGUCGCCUACC